GGGCUAGGUGGCACCUGCUUGUUGCCCCAGCAACUUGGGAGGCUGAGGCAGGAAAAUCGCUUGAGCUCAAGAGUUCUGGGCUUUAGUAAGCUAUGCCAAUCAGAUAUCUGCACUACGUCUGGCAUCAAUACAAUGACCUCCAGGGAACCAGGUUGCCUAAGGAGUGGUGAACUGGCCCAGGUCGGAAACAGAGCAGGUUAAAACUUCUGUGCUGAUCAGUAGUGGGAUCACAACCGUGAAUAGCCACUGCACUUCAGCCUGGGCAAUAUAGAAAGACACUGUCUCU
Unclassified non-coding RNA from Colobus angolensis palliatus, 286 nucleotides. It matches the Rfam family "Metazoan signal recognition particle RNA". Rfam says of the family: The signal recognition particle (SRP) is a universally conserved ribonucleoprotein. It is involved in the co-translational targeting of proteins to membranes. NCBI's taxonomy places the organism in Eukaryota, Metazoa, Chordata, Mammalia, Primates, Cercopithecidae. The record is from Ensembl.